CACGUAGGGCGCAAGCGUUGUCCGGAAUUAUUGGGCGUAAAGAGCUCGUAGGCGGUCUGUUGCGUCCGCUGUGAAAACUCGGGGCUUAACCCCGAGCCUGCAGUGGAUACGGGCAGACUAGAGGUAGGUAGGGGAGAAUGGAAUUCCCGGUGUAGCGGUGAAAUGCGCAGAUAUCUGCAGGAACACCCGUGGCGAAAGCGGCGCGCUGGACCACUACUGACGCUGAGGAACGAAAGCUAGGGGAGCAAACAGG
Molecule: ribosomal RNA, 253 nt
Filed under: uncultured bacterium
Lineage: Bacteria
Description: partial 16S ribosomal RNA
Rfam family: Bacterial small subunit ribosomal RNA
Source: RNAcentral